RNAcentral lists this ribosomal RNA (253 nucleotides) under uncultured bacterium. RNAcentral describes it as "partial 16S ribosomal RNA". It matches the Rfam family "Bacterial small subunit ribosomal RNA", at positions 524 to 776 of the family's 1533-position model. The record is from RNAcentral.
UACGUAGGUGGCGAGCGUUGUCCGGAUUUAUUGGGCGUAAAGCGCGCGCAGGCGGUGCGGUAAGUCUGUCGUGAAAUCUCCCGGCUCAACUGGGAGGGUGCGGUGGAGACUGCCGGACUGGAGGCACUCAGAGGCCGGUGGAAUUCCCGGUGUAGUGGUGAAAUGCGUAGAGAUCGGGAGGAACACCAGUGGCGAAGGCGGCCGGCUGGGGGUGACCUGACGCUGAUGCGCGAAAGCGUGGGGAGCGAUCCGG